UCAACGUACCACCGAGGAAUUCAAGAGGGUAAGCGCAAGGAAUAAAGUCAAUCGGGCCAAGCUAAAAGGACCCGCGUGUCUUGGGAGGCACAGUAUGGCUGUUACUCGCCAUAAGAUGGCGAUGGAGAAGAAUCUUACCUCUGAUGUCGAGAUAGGUAGAUGUGAAGUCUUCUUAAGAGCCCAUACAAGAAAGGACAAAGUUGUCCAAUAUCCUGACCUUGCUGAAAAACUAGAUGAGCUCUAUAGUAGCAAUCCUGCUUCUAGGAUGACCGGCAUGGAUGAUGCCCUUACAGAGUUAGU
Molecule: long non-coding RNA, 300 nt
Organism: Magnolia sinica
Lineage: Eukaryota; Viridiplantae; Streptophyta; Magnoliopsida; Magnoliales; Magnoliaceae
Exons: 3
Source: RefSeq, a predicted model, not a curated record